CACAGUUGCCUGGUUAUGUAAUAAAAAGAAAUCCCUCAGUUAUCAUGUGACUGGUUGGUAUCUCCACUGACACCACUGAAGUUCUACUGAUUUCAGCAGAGCUACUCUAGAUUUACCUCAGUGUAAAUGGGAGGAGAAAUGGGCCCAAAUGCUUCAGAAAACACCAGGGUGUCCCUGGAGCUGCACUAGCUGCAGCUCCCUGCACCUCUCACAGAUUAAAAACUCAAAUCUGUGGACAAAUAGCUGCAAAAAGGCUUGGGAGAAACCAGCCUCUGAGCCUCUUCCCUCUCGCAGCAAUAUCCCCAAGGGGAGUCGGCAGCAGCAUCGUGCCUCUUCCCUGCUCCCUAAUCAAAGGCAGGAGCUGAUCUAAACAGGCUGGAUUUGCAAGUGCCUCCUCCCUGAAAGAAUGGAAAUAUCAAAAUUUCCUGAGAAAACAGCAAAUACAAGCCUUCCUACAAUACUCUUUCCCUCCCCAGCUCCUGCUGGGGAGUAACAUGUUCCUGAAGUUCUG
This 511-nucleotide long non-coding RNA is filed under the name Apteryx rowi (Okarito brown kiwi). RNAcentral's name for it is "lncRNA (ENSARWG00000013364.1)". The record is from RNAcentral. Lineage: Eukaryota; Metazoa; Chordata; Aves; Apterygiformes; Apterygidae.